Molecule: RNA transcript, 2401 nt
Organism: Cryptomeria japonica (Japanese cedar)
Lineage: Eukaryota; Viridiplantae; Streptophyta; Pinopsida; Cupressales; Cupressaceae
Exons: 10
Source: RefSeq, a predicted model, not a curated record
UCUAAGGAAACCCUAGUUACGGGACGAAACAAGUUUUUAAAAAGUCUGUCUUGAUCGUCUUAACCGGGAUUGUUAAACUCUGUUAGCCAUGGUCAGCUCCGCGGUCCGGAAACCCGGGCAGAAAGUUUAAACAUCAGAGGAGCCCUUUUUAAUUCAUAUAUUUGGGUACAAAAAACAAGCUCAGAGUGCGGGAAGAGCCCAGAGAGCCGGUAAAAGCAGGAACAUGGCUACUGAUGAGAUCGAGAUGAGCGUAACUGAAGCUGUGCGCUCUCGCCUGUCCUUCUUCAGAAAACAGUCCGAUUCUUUGACCUUUGAAGGAGUUCGGCGACUCUUGGAAAAGGAUUUGGGCCUGGAGGCAUUUUCAUUGGAUUCACACAAAAAAUUGAUUAAGGCACUUCUACAGGAGAAUUUCUAUAGCUCAGAGGAGGACGAUGCUUCUGGAAAUGUGAAAGAAAAUGAAAAUGAAGCUGAGAAUUCAGAGUUGGAAAACAGCUCCAAAAGUCUAGAAUCUCUGGGACAAAAUUUGCCAUCUGGAAAACAUGGCAAAGGAAGAAAUGAAGACAAUAAAUUGUUGAAAGAAAAAAAGCAAACUGAAUCUGAUAUUGACAUACCUGAACCCAGAGAAAAAGCUCAAACAGAACAUGAUGAAGUUGAUGAUGAGAUAAAUGGUAAAAAUGAAUUAUCUCUGGAAGUGACUGAAACAGUAAUAAAGGAAGCAGUUUUGAAGAGAGCUUCCUAUCUAAGAGCUGAAAUUGAAUCUAUUAGUCUUGGAAGUUUUCGUCGACUUUUGGAACAAGAUCUUCGAUUAGAGACAAAAGCACUAGAUGUUCAUAAAACAUUGAUUUCAAAGCUUGUCGAUGAGUUACUUACUAGUCCUUCUAAUGAACCCGAUAAUGUCAAAGAGAUGAACAAAAAGAGCCAGAAGAAAAAGUUAUCUAAGGGAAAGAAAAUUGGUUCUGAAGAGGAUGAAGUCAAAUAUACUAGAUCUGACACAAUGGAGGAUUCACUGGAAUCUACAGAAAUUUCAAGAGAUGAUGGGCUGGAACUGAACAAAGAAACAUUGAAGGCCAGUAAAUCUAAAAAAAUCAGGAAGAAAGAUUUAGGCAUUGCGACUUUGAAGGGGAGAAAGAGAAAACUAGAUCCAGAAAACGAACACAAAAAGUCAGUGAAGAAACCAAAGAAAAAGAAAUCAGUUGAAGACACAGACACAGAGCCACUAAAAUCAGAGACCACAAGAAGGAAAGAAGAAGAAGACAGUGUGGAUGAAAUUGAAGAACCAGUAAAAAACAAGGCUUCUGAAGACAGUGACAGUGCUUCAUCUGAUAAUGAAGAGGAGAAGAGUAAAAUGAAGAAGACAAGCAAUGCAGUUGUGCAUGGCGAGCAAGUCCAGAAUUUGAAGAAGAUCAUAAGAUCCUGUGGAAUGACUGUUCCUCCUACAGUUUACAAGAAAGCAAAACAACAACCUGACAGCAAGCGAGAGGCAUACCUUUUACAGGAAUUGAUAGCAAUUUUGAAGAAGGAAGGCUUGUCUACAAAUCCUACAGACAAAGAGAUCAAGGCUGUAGUAAAACGCAAGGAGAAAGCAAAGGAUCUUGAAGGCAUUGAUAUGACAAAUAUCAUAUCUGAUUCUCGUCGUAGAAGAGCAACUUCCAAUUUCUUAAUUCCUCCUCCACAGUAUAAGGUUUCAAAUGAAGAUGAUGAGGAUAGCAGUGAUGAUGAAGAUGGUAAAAGCUCAGAAGAUGAUGAAACACUUAAUAGGACUGAAUAAAAAUUGGUUACAACAAGAAGAGUGUGUAAGACAUCGUCCAGAUUAAGUUUAAUUGAAGGAACAUCAUGGCAUAAGAGGAUCAUGGCUGGAAUAGUGGAAUAAUAUGUGUGUAAAAGUGCUGGUGGAUGAAUAUGAACAAUGAGCCAGUAAUAGAAGAAGAGGAAAGUGAUUGAAUUGGAACAACAAUUUUGUAAAUGGGCAGUGUCUAAUUCUGUCUUUGAUAGUAUCAGAGGAGAGACAUUAUUCUGUACUAUACCAGUCAUGACUGAACAGAAAGGAAAAGUACCUUAUUCUUGUCAAUAUGCUUUCUCAAAAUAGUACAAUAGCAGGUAGCUCUGGAGUCUUUCACAUUUGCAUGUUCGAGCAGGCAAUUGCAACAUUCUAAUCCUGUUGCAAUAUUAAUGAUUGUUCAAUAUGAAGCUCAAUUUGUAGGAAGGGACUUUUGUAUGGGGUUGGUCCAUUGAAUGACAUCCAUUUUUGUUAGGAGACUAACCUUAUCUUUCACUUGAUGCUUAAUUGGAAAAUGACCCAAUCGCAAGUUUUAGAAACAUUGGAGAUGUUAUUUGUGAUGGUAUGCACUCUAAGAGAAGUUCUAAUUAAAGCACUUGGUAAUUGCAGAGUAUCUUUACUUCA